GUUCGGUUCUGUCAUCAUCAAUAUCUCUAACCCUAAACACCACCAUCGAUGCUAUUUGAGGAAGUUCCUCCCCCACCCAAUUACAUCAGAGGAGCCCUAAAUUCUCCCCGCCACCAUACAUUUUGGUUUCAUGAUUUCCAGGAGGGCGACACCAUCAAUUUCUUUCCAAAAUUCGAACACAAGGUUCUUGAGGAGAAGCAUAAAUCAUUAAUAUCUUAAAUUACUUUCACUGAGUCAGGUACGGAGUACGAACUAAAUAAAAUCCAAAGUACCAAGGCAGAACUCAGUCAGGUACAUGAAAAAAAAACCACAAGCAAAAGCUUCAUACACUCCAAACGGCCACUAAAAGGAAGGUAUUAGAUCUAUCACCAAUAACACUUACUCAACAACUAAAAUGAUGAAUCUUCAGUAGGUUGAACAAGAUCCACAAUCAUCACCGAUAAGACCAAGACAUCUGCAAAGAAAGUGAAAUACAAGUGUUAUGGGUUUGAAUUUGUUGGAUGUUGAGACAAUGAUGUUUUCUGCGUUGCAGACCGCUUGCAUUUUGUAUUAAUAGCGAUUGAGAUAUCUUGAUAAAAUCGUGAUGCAAGUAAGGAGCUAUUGAUUUUUUACACACGAACUAAUUUGAAGCAGGUAUGCUCUGUGCUUUUUAUCACUGUAUUUUUUGUACAUUUUUGCUCUAAUUUUAGAUGAUUUCAGAUUCGUCUGUUGUGGUGUACUUAUUGGAGUUGUUUGAUCAACAAUGUGGUUUUUUGAAGCUUUUGUAGUACAUAGCCUAAUAUGUAUUCAAGUAUAUGCAGUAAACAACCUAAUCCACCAAAAUUGAUCAAUAACGUAGGUUUAUAUUUGUUCUUUGACAUCACAAGAACCUGCAACAGGAAAGUUAGUUAAUGCAUUUUCUUUUUUCAUUGUUGUUAUAUAAUUAUUUAUGAUGCAUGCGUAAGACACAAUCAUUUGAAGACCGUCUUUGGGAAGCUUGGGCAUGUUUGUGAUCUUCAUCAACUCAUCUGAAACAAAGAACUAGGGUUGAACGUGUUAUUGGUUUUGUUCUUGCUAUAUGGGGAAUUUUGUUUUAUUCUCGCCUCUUGGGAAUAAUGACCGAACGAUUUAGGGAAGUGAGAACAGUUAAGGAAUUAACCAUGACUAACCUGCAACAUGAGAUGCAAGAGAUUGAAGACAGUGGUCUCAUCAAUCAUUCAUUUCCACCGCCUCCCGCUUCUUCCGUUUUCUCCACCAGCGCAAUGGUCUCAUCGUAACUUACACAAUCUAAAUUGAAAUCAAGAGGUUGCUGAGGACACUAACAGUUAAUUAUCGAUCAAUUUGCUCUCUAAAGUCUCGAGUUUUUCCAUUAUCGAUCGAUUCCUCUUUUCUAAUUCUAUUCUUCUGCCGACUACCCUUUGAACCUAAUCCUCACUCUGUUGAUUGACAAUUCAUGGAUGGACCAACGAUUGACGUCGACUUGUUCGGAAUCGGCGACUCUUGAAGAUGAAUCUGCAACCGCUUCAAUUGGAUUCGGUAGGCUUUUGUCAUAAUUUAGUCAUGAUUCAUCUUCUCACCUUUUUCGUUUCUCCCUUGCUGUUGUGACCAUCAGAAGCUACCAUCUGUCUAGUGUUUUUAUUUUUGGGUUCUCGGUAACCAACGGUGAAGACAAGCUUUUGACUAAUCAAAAUCGGCUUCCUGUAUACAUCAAAAUUGGAUUACAGAGUAAGGUGCUGUUUGUUUUUUGGAAAAAACAUCUUCAGACCUCUUAUUGCUGUGCGGCGCAACACACGUGCAACACUUUUCAUCUCGUAGUUGUUUGUUUUUUAGAAGUCUUUGGAUUAAAAAACCUCUGCGAGUGUUCUUCUUGGCGCAACACUUGUUUUGCCUCUUCCUACAUCUUCCAACCUAUUUUUCUUUUUUUUUUUUCUUACUAAAAUAUUGAUUGUAUAUUGCUGAAA
Molecule: long non-coding RNA, 1940 nt
Organism: Lactuca sativa (garden lettuce)
Lineage: Eukaryota; Viridiplantae; Streptophyta; Magnoliopsida; Asterales; Asteraceae
Source: RefSeq, a predicted model, not a curated record